Molecule: ribosomal RNA, 510 nt
Filed under: uncultured bacterium
Lineage: Bacteria
Description: partial 16S ribosomal RNA
Rfam family: Bacterial small subunit ribosomal RNA
Source: RNAcentral
GACGAACGCUGGCGGCGUGCUUAACACAUGCAAGUCGAACGAAGAGCGAUGGAAGCUUGCUUCUAUCAAUCUUAGUGGCGAACGGGUGAGUAACGCGUAAUCAACCUGCCCUUCAGAGGGGGACAACAGUUGGAAACGACUGCUAAUACCGCAUACGAUCUAACCUCGGCAUCGAGGAUGGAUGAAAGGUGGACUCUAUUUAUAAGCUAUCACUGAAGGAGGGGAUUGCGUCUGAUUAGCUAGUUGGAGGGGUAACGGCCCACCAAGGCGAUGAUAAGUAGCCGGUCUGAGAGGAUGAACGGCCACAUUGGGACUGAGACACGGCCCAGACUCCUACGGGAGGCAGCAGUGGGGAAUCUUCCGCAAUGGACGAAAGUCUGACGGAGCAACGCCGCGUGAGUGAUGACGGCCUUCGGGUUGUAAAGCUCUGUUAAUCGGGACGAAAGGCCUUCUUGCGAAUAGUUAGAAGGAUUGACGGUACCGGAAUAGAAAGCCACGGCUAACUACGUG